This 425-nucleotide ribosomal RNA is filed under the name uncultured bacterium. RNAcentral's name for it is "partial 16S ribosomal RNA". It matches the Rfam family "Bacterial small subunit ribosomal RNA", at positions 338 to 755 of the family's 1533-position model. The record is from RNAcentral.
CCUACGGGAGACUGCAGUGGGGAAUGUUGGACAAUGGGCGCAAGCCUGAUCCAGCUAUUCCGCGUGUGGGAUGACGGCCCUCGGGUUGUAAACCACUUUAGUAGAGAACGAAAAGGAGCGAUCGAAUAAAGAGCGCUGCUGACGGUACACGAAGAAGAAGCACCGGCUAACUACGUGCCAGCAGCCGAGGUAAGACGUAGGGUGCGAGCGUUAAUCGGAAUUACUGGGCGUAAAGGGUGUGCAGGCGGCUGAGUAAGACAGAUGUGAAAGCCCCGGGCUUAACCUGGGAACCGCCUAUGGGACUGCUUGGCUAGAGUGCGUCAGAGGUAGGUGGCAUUCCACCUGUAGCCGUGACAUGCUUCGAUAUGUGGCAGAACACCGAUUGCGAAGGCAGCCUCCUGGCACGCAACUGACGCUCAUCCACG